AUUGAACGCUGGCGGCAGGCCUAACACAUGCAAGUCGAACGGUAACAGGAAACAGCUUGCUGUUUCGCUGACGAGUGGCGGACGGGUGAGUAAUGUCUGGGAAACUGCCUGAUGGAGGGGGAUAACUACUGGAAACGGUAGCUAAUACCGCAUAACGUCGCAAGACCAAAGAGGGGGACCUUCGGGCCUCUUGCCAUCGGAUGUGCCCAGAUGGGAUUAGCUAGUAGGUGGGGUAACGGCCCACCUAGGCGACGAUCCCUAGCUGGUCUGAGAGGAUGACCAGCCACACUGGAACUGAGACACGGUCCAGACUCCUACGGGAGGCAGCAGUGGGGAAUAUUGCACAAUGGGCGCAAGCCUGAUGCAGCCAUGCCGCGUGUAUGAAGAAGGCCUUCGGGUUGUAAAGUACUUUCAGCGGGGAGGAAGGGAGUAAAGUUAAUACCUUUGCUCAUUGACGUUACCCGCAGAAGAAGCACCGGCUAACUCCGUG
RNAcentral lists this ribosomal RNA (490 nucleotides) under uncultured bacterium. RNAcentral describes it as "partial 16S ribosomal RNA". It matches the Rfam family "Bacterial small subunit ribosomal RNA", at positions 30 to 507 of the family's 1533-position model. The record is from RNAcentral.